This 495-nucleotide ribosomal RNA is filed under the name uncultured bacterium. RNAcentral's name for it is "partial 16S ribosomal RNA". It matches the Rfam family "Bacterial small subunit ribosomal RNA", at positions 30 to 507 of the family's 1533-position model. The record is from RNAcentral.
UGAACGCUGGCGGCGUGCCUAAUACAUGCAAGUCGAGCGAACGGACGAGAAGCUUGCUUUUCUGAUGUUAGCGGCGGACGGGUGAGUAACACGUGGAUAACCUACCUAUAAGACUGGGAUAACUUCGGGAAACCGGAGCUAAUACCGGAUAAUAUUUUGAACCGCAUGGUUCAAAAGUGAAAGACGGUCUUGCUGUCACUUAUAGAUGGAUCCGCGCUGCUUUAGCUAGUUGGUAAGGUAACGGCUUACCAAGGCAACGAUGCAUAGCCGACCUGAGAGGGUGAUCGGCCACACUGGAACUGAGACACGGUCCAGACUCCUACGGGAGGCAGCAGUAGGGAAUCUUCCGCAAUGGGCGAAAGCCUGACGGAGCAACGCCGCGUGAGUGAUGAAGGUCUUCGGAUCGUAAAACUCUGUUAUUAGGGAAGAACAUAUGUGUAAGUAACUGUGCACAUCUUGACGGUACCUAAUCAGAAAGCCACGGCUAACUACGUG